AGGACUGCUGGAGGACUGCAGAGAAAUGAGCCUACUCCUCUGGGGCCCUGGGCAGACCUCC
This is a microRNA precursor of Chlorocebus sabaeus (green monkey), 61 nucleotides long. The record is from Ensembl. Lineage: Eukaryota; Metazoa; Chordata; Mammalia; Primates; Cercopithecidae.